UUUAAUAACUCCUGCCUCCUGAAAGCUACUGUUUUGUGCAUAAAAAUAUAUCUCCAAAUAAAGAAUGAUGGGCUGCAUGACAGUAAAUAUGCACUGAAGGAACUGUUAUGCAUCUGAGAUGAUGUUGCCCUAAGCUUCUAUCAGGAUGCUGCACUGUAAAAGAAAUCUCAUCCACAUAGAGAAAUGCUAGAAUGAACAACAGAUCUCCUGUCUCAUUUGUGGACUUUUCCAGCCUUUGACCUUCAUUCCUCCUGGAUGUAGCAGCCCAGUGUGCAGCAUUUCACCUCAAUCUGCCCUUUUGCCCCCAGGCAAAGGAUUUCCUGGCCAAGGAUCCAACCCUGCAGUUUUGCAAUACUUUGGGAAGAGCAGUUUGUAACUGUACUCUGUCUAGUCCUGCCCUCUAAGCAGGAAUGUCACAGAGCUGGAGCGUUGCUGCUCUGAGCUGUGCAGGCAGGCUGGGGAGUGCUGGGAUCCCAAGUCCUGGAGCAGCUGCACCUCCCAGAGUCCUUCUGUCUUGGUUACAGCAAAGUCAAGGUGUACAGCUGGAAAGAAAAGUGUUCCAACUCCUGUGCUAUAAAGCCCUGAA
Long non-coding RNA from Cyanistes caeruleus (blue tit), 586 nucleotides. RefSeq lists it as uncharacterized. Lineage: Eukaryota; Metazoa; Chordata; Aves; Passeriformes; Paridae. The record is from RefSeq and is a predicted model, not a curated record.